AUGAAACUCAUCGGUUGGAAGUGCUGGGGGCUCGGGAAUGGCCCGACAGUUUGUAGCCUUCUCGAUUUGGGGAAGGCGGAGGAGCCCGAUGUUCUGUUCUUGGCAGAGACAAAAUUGACGGAGAAGAAGUUGGAUAGGUUUCAAUGGUCUUUGGUCCUGGCCAAUAUGACUGCUUGGAAUCCAGUCGGUCGAAGCCGAGGCGUAGUGCUGUUCUGGAAGAGG
RNAcentral lists this ribosomal RNA (222 nucleotides) under Triticum aestivum (bread wheat). RNAcentral describes it as "partial small subunit ribosomal RNA". The record is from RNAcentral. Lineage: Eukaryota; Viridiplantae; Streptophyta; Magnoliopsida; Poales; Poaceae.